RNAcentral lists this ribosomal RNA (398 nucleotides) under Bifidobacterium longum. RNAcentral describes it as "bacterial SSU rRNA". It matches the Rfam family "Bacterial small subunit ribosomal RNA", at positions 375 to 786 of the family's 1533-position model. The record is from RNAcentral. Lineage: Bacteria; Bacillati; Actinomycetota; Actinomycetes; Bifidobacteriales; Bifidobacteriaceae.
GCGCAGCCUGAUGCAGCGACGCCGCGUGAGGGAUGGAGGCCUUCGGGUUGUAAACCUCUUUUAUCGGGGAGCAAGCGAGAGUGAGUUUACCCGUUGAAUAAGCACCGGCUAACUACGUGCCAGCAGCCGCGGUAAUACGUAGGGUGCAAGCGUUAUCCGGAAUUAUUGGGCGUAAAGGGCUCGUAGGCGGUUCGUCGCGUCCGGUGUGAAAGUCCAUCGCUUAACGGUGGAUCCGCGCCGGGUACGGGCGGGCUUGAGUGCGGUAGGGGAGACUGGAAUUCCCGGUGUAACGGUGGAAUGUGUAGAUAUCGGGAAGAACACCAAUGGCGAAGGCAGGUCUCUGGGCCGUUACUGACGCUGAGGAGCGAAAGCGUGGGGAGCGAACAGGAUUAGAUACC